RNAcentral lists this transfer RNA (68 nucleotides) under pig gut metagenome. It matches the Rfam family "tRNA". Rfam says of the family: Transfer RNA (tRNA) molecules are approximately 80 nucleotides in length. Their secondary structure includes four short double-helical elements and three loops (D, anti-codon, and T loops). The record is from RNAcentral.
GACGUGGCUCAGUUUGGUAGAGCGCUGCGUUCGGGACGCAGAGGUCGUGGGUUCGAAUCCCGUCGUCU